GACGAACGCUGGCGGCGUGCUUAACACAUGCAAGUCGAACGGAAAGGCCUGCUUUCCCUUGUGGAUUGCGGGUACUCGAGUGGCGAACGGGUGAGUAACACGUGAGUGAUCUGCCCCCAACUUGGGUAUAAGCCUGGGCAACUGGGUCUAAUUCCCGAUAGGACUGCAGGGUGGUGCCUGUGGUGGCAAACGAUUUUCUCGUGGUUGGGGAUGAGCUCGCGGCCUAUCAGCUUGUUGGUGGGGUAAUGGCCUACCAAGGCGGCGACGGGUAGCGGGCCUGGGAGGGUGGACGGGCACAUUGGGACUGCGAUACGGCCCAGACGCCUACGGGAGGCAGCAGUGGGGAAUAUGGCACAAUGGGCGGAAGCCUGAUGCAGCGACGCCGCGUGGGGGAUGACGGCCUUCGGGUUGUAAACUCCUUUCGACCGCGAGGAAGCCACCUGGUUGGAAGGGUGGUGACGGUAGUGGUAGAAGAAGCACCGGCUAACUACGUG
This 494-nucleotide ribosomal RNA is filed under the name uncultured bacterium. Its description in RNAcentral is "partial 16S ribosomal RNA". It matches the Rfam family "Bacterial small subunit ribosomal RNA", at positions 28 to 507 of the family's 1533-position model. The record is from RNAcentral.